Molecule: ribosomal RNA, 476 nt
Filed under: uncultured eukaryote
Lineage: Eukaryota
Description: partial 18S ribosomal RNA
Rfam family: Eukaryotic small subunit ribosomal RNA
Source: RNAcentral
CAAUAGCGUAUAUUAAUGUUGCUGCAGUUAAAAAGCUCGUAGUUGAAUCUUGGAGGCGUUUGUAGUCCGGUCCGCCUCGAAGGCGAGUACCGACUGCAACCCUCUAUAUCUGGUAACAACAUACUAUUGUGCUUCACUGUGCGAUAGUUUCGGGAAGAGGAAACUCGACUUGAAGGUCGGGAGCGUUGAGGGGGCGGUGGAUUAACGUCUGCUGUUCAAUUGGCGUUUCUGGCAAUGUUUUACCUAUUUUACUUUGAAAAAAUUAGAGUGUUCAAAGCAAGGCGUUGGCCUAUUGAAUAUUGCAGCAUGGGAUAAUAGAAAAAGAUAGUCUGUCUUAUUUUGUUGGUUUUUUAAGAUGACAAUAAUGAUGGAAGGGGAUGGUUGGGGCGGUCUGUAUUGCCUAGCUAGAGGUGAAAUUCUUAGAUUUGGGCAAGACAAACUACUGCGAAAGCUUUCCGCUAGGACAUAUUCAUCAA